This is a long non-coding RNA of Mirounga angustirostris (Northern elephant seal), 1911 nucleotides long. RefSeq lists it as uncharacterized. The transcript has 5 exons. The record is from RefSeq and is a predicted model, not a curated record. Lineage: Eukaryota; Metazoa; Chordata; Mammalia; Carnivora; Phocidae.
CGUCCUGGAGUGGGGAGCCGCCCAGGACCCGGGUCUUAAGUGCGGGCUUGGUGGGCGACGCGCACCAGGCCUCCGGGGCAAGGCGGUCCCCGCUCCGCCGGCCCCAGCGCGGACGGACCCCGCGCGCCGGCCGGCUCCGGAGCCCCCUCCCGGAGGACUCGGGGCAGGAAGCGGGGCACGGCUGCCCCGGGGGGUGCCCGAGCCCCCCAGCCAGGAGGGAGGGCCGGCGUGGCCUGCGCAGGACGCCUCCCGCUCGCGGACGCUCUCCCUCCCGCCUGCCCGCCCCGCCCGGGACCCCCGCGGCCGCCAGCCGGCAGGAUAACGGAGCUGUAGCUGGGCGGACGUGCUGAGCUGGACUACAUUUCCCAGGCUGCUGAGCUGGACUACAUUUCCCAGGGUGUCUUGCAGAUGUGAAAACGGAGCCUCGGAGCUGUGAAGUCAGAACUGGAGCCCGAGCCCACCAGCCGGCAAGAGCCUGGCCGGGUCCCCGACGGCACCCCUGCCCUCCCAGGAGGUGUGCUGCUUGGUCAGGGAGGGGUCACACAGACCUUGGAGUAUCUGCCUUAGCGCAAUGGACAGACCAUACUUUCAAGCCAACCGCUCCCCAUGAGAAGACUGCAGAGCCUGAAUCCCUUCUCCUUGAGUGUGGACUGUGCUUAGCAACCCACUGCUAACAAAUGGAAUGUAGCAGAAGGGACUGUGUAUGAUUCUGGAGACAAGGUCACAGAAAGCACUGUGGCUCCCUCCUUGCUUAGUCUCUCUUGGAUCACUCGCUCUGGAGGAAGCCAGCUGCAUGCCAUGUCAGGAAGACCCUUGACAGCCCCAUGGAGAAGUAUACUCAGCUGAGACCUCCGGUCAACAAUCACAUGAGUAACCUUGGCAGCAGACCUCCGGCCCCAGUCAAGCCUUCUCAUGGCUGCAACCCUGGUUGACAUCUUGACCACAUCUUGGAAAGAAGUGGAACUGGAACCACCCAGAUUUCUGACCCUGGAAACUGUAGGAGAUAAUAAAUAUGUGUUGGUUUAAGCAGCCAGGCUUGGCUCUGAUUGGUUAUGCAGCAACACAGAACUAAUACACCUGUUCCAUCCCCCCCUCUUCCUUAUCAUCUUCUGUCAUUAUCUGCUUGGUGUCCCUCCCACCCCCUUCAGGGAAAGUCUGUUCCAUCAAGAAGGGAGAAUAUGGAGUGGGUCUCCCGGUUAACAUGCUACAUCUCAAGUAAUCCUUGGGUUAUCUACCAAAAAACUCCUCCUUCCUUCUUCUAAAGGACAAAGAGAUCCCAAGGCUACUCAAAGCCAUAGCCUAGGGCUGUUCCUGAUAUUUUCCGUCCCGAGGUCAUUCCAAAUGGCUGCACUGAGCGUGGACAAGAGGAAGCCAUGCCUAGGGGAGCCACGUUGUUCUCUCUGACUUACUGACAAGAGGCACAGGACCCUCCGGUCGCAGAGCACAGGGAAACACUGGCAGGUUCUGGAAAUCCAGGUGAAGAAGUGCCAUGUGUGUCCAGCCUGGACAGAGCAAAACAGCGGUAGCCACCACAGCAGGCUCCUUGUCAGUGAUGGGAGUGGUGGGGGACAGCUGGGACACCCACAGCCCUCUUGGAUACCCCCCUCGUUGGGUGACUAGCCAUGCCUCAUUCUGGGAGGAAACCCAUGAAGUCUCUGACAGUGGUUGGAGAACAGGAGGGCAGGUGGGAAAGCAAGAUACAUUUUUCCUGAGCACCUGUUUGUCUAUUGAAUUUUGUACUUUGUGUGUGUGUAUGUUGCCUAUUCAAAGAUAGAUCAAUUAAAUAUAUUUAAAAUAUUAUUUUACCAAUUACCAAACUCUGCUUGGUGUUCCUAAAUGAGACCUUUGUGGCCAUAUAAGUUUGGGGAACUUGGCUGAUACGUCCUCUUCCUGGACUGUCACGUUAGCGAA